RNAcentral lists this ribosomal RNA (237 nucleotides) under uncultured bacterium. RNAcentral's name for it is "partial 16S ribosomal RNA". It matches the Rfam family "Bacterial small subunit ribosomal RNA", at positions 96 to 334 of the family's 1533-position model. The record is from RNAcentral.
CGGCGGACGGGUGAGUAACGCGUGGGUAACCUGCCUCAUACAGGGGAUAACAGUUAGAAAUGACUGCUAAUACCGCAUAAGACCACAGCACCGCAUGGUGCGGGGGUAAAAACUCCGGUGGUAUGAGAUGGACCCGCGUCUGAUUAGCUAGUUGGUAAGGUAACGGCUUACCAAGGCGACGAUCAGUAGCCGACCUGAGAGGGUGACCGGCCACAUUGGGACUGAGACACGGCCCAA